RNAcentral lists this long non-coding RNA (1705 nucleotides) under Oryctolagus cuniculus (rabbit). RNAcentral describes it as "lncRNA (ENSOCUG00000032522.1)". The record is from RNAcentral. Lineage: Eukaryota; Metazoa; Chordata; Mammalia; Lagomorpha; Leporidae.
AGCUUGGAGAAUGUCAUGUUUCUGGGCUGAGAGGUGUGAUGACAGCAAGGGAGACUGACGGAUUUCAUUGUCCCAGUAACUGGUCUGUCUUGGCCAAGCUAUAUAAAAAAAAUUAAUGGGAACUCUCCAUCUUUAACUUUCUACUCAAAGUGGUUGGUGUUAUUCUCAGGUCUUUCUGGAUAUUUAUAUAAUAAUUCUAUUGAUUUAUAGAUAAGGACAUGAGCUGUAUUAAAAUUUUUUAUUUAUAAAGAGAACAACUUUCAAAUAUUUCGUAUACAGUUUUAAGAGCAUAUUAACAAUUCUCACCUUACCCUUCCUCACUCCCACCCACCCUCCUUCUUUUCUUAUUUUUCUUUUAAUUUUUCCUAUGUAAUACUUAAACUUUUCUUUAUAAUCACAAGCAUAACCCUCCACUAAAUACAUUCAAAAACUAAGUAGAAAAACUGUUCUAUGAGCUCUUUUAAAACAUAAAAUUUAAUAGAAGAUGCUUUCUCAUUUUUAAAAGAGCAAAAUCAGUUUUCUGUUCAACAAUUCUGAUAUACUUUCCAUACAUUAAUUAUUACAAAUAAAGGUAAUACGUUUAAAGUUGUUUAACACCAAAGUUUCUGAAAAUAUCCGAUGUUUGUGGUUCAUGAAAUCAGAAUUUGUGGCAAAUUUUACUAAUGCACAGUACGGUUAAACACAGGUGCUUUGAAUAACUUACUGGAGAUUCAAGCUACAUGAAAAUUGUUUUACAUGAUAAAUAACGCACAGUGAAAUAAGUGUUGAAAAUGUUCAAAAACAGCUGUAGGUAUUAAAAAGACAAUACUUAGGAUAGUCUCCUCAAAGUAGACUAAACAAAGGAUUUUGAGUCCAGUUGCAGGGAAAGAAAAUUCGGCUAUGAAAACUCCCAGGGAGAGGGGCGUGUUGCAUGUCUACUUUAUUUCUCUGAAGCUCCUCACUUGGUACUUUAUACACAAAGCAUCUGCACUCAAUGCCUGAAUAAGCCAACGAUUGUUAUUUUUCACGUACAGGUCUCUACAAAUGGCAGGCCUAACUCACUCUUGCACUCAGCCAGCAGACACGAUUGCUUCAAGCAUUUGGUCAUGAGUUGGGGAAACUUCCUUGAACAAUAGAGAAGCACUGCGAUGCUUGGCCAGUGUUAUUCUGGGACAUCAUUGCUUCCAUUACUGAGCUUCUGAAUGGUGGUUAUGUCCCUCUUCCUAGAGCCUUCUCCAUGGUAUUGGUAAGUAAAGUGAUGCCAUGACCCUGACAAGGGACACAGGUGGGCUUUUCAAUCUGAUAAACUAGACAUCACUCUGGCAUAACCACAUUCUCGAGUUUUUUGUUCUCUUCCCCUACAACCUACACUGCCAGUACUGGUAUGUCUAAUUUAUUUAAUGUUGACCUUUGCAUUUUGAAGAUUCAGGUUUAUUGAGGUAUAAUUUACAUGUACUAAAAUAUGCCUAUUUAAGGUAUUUAUUUCUAUAAAUUUUGACAGUUAUAGUUGUGUAAUCACCAACACAAUCAGAUGUAGAACACUGUCAUCACUUCCAAAAAGUUCCAUUAAUUCGUAGAUUGCAUAGAAUUUAUAUCAUAGAUUGUAACUGAAUUUUAAUUUAUACAUUUAAAGUUCUUUUUAAAAAUUUUUGGUAGUUUUGACAGGAGGAAAAAGGUUGCUGGAUUUCAUUUGUUAAAUAAAUCUUUUAUUUGUAUAAGAAACCCA